GAAGAUUUGCGGUUCCGUUGUUG
RNAcentral lists this non-coding RNA (23 nucleotides) under Arabidopsis thaliana (thale cress). The record is from RNAcentral. Lineage: Eukaryota; Viridiplantae; Streptophyta; Magnoliopsida; Brassicales; Brassicaceae.